RNAcentral lists this non-coding RNA (30 nucleotides) under Homo sapiens (human). The record is from RNAcentral. Lineage: Eukaryota; Metazoa; Chordata; Mammalia; Primates; Hominidae.
UGUGCAAGGACGACUACGCGCUGGGCGAGC